RNAcentral lists this ribosomal RNA (398 nucleotides) under uncultured bacterium. RNAcentral's name for it is "bacterial SSU rRNA". It matches the Rfam family "Bacterial small subunit ribosomal RNA", at positions 365 to 758 of the family's 1533-position model. The record is from RNAcentral.
UUGGCCGUGGGGGAACCUGACCGCAAUGCCGCGUGUGUGAAGAAGGCCUGAGGGUUGUAAAGCACUUUAGGUGGGGAGGAUGGUAGAGCAGGUUAAGAGCUAGUUUUAUUGACGUUACCCGCAGAAUAAGCGCCGGCUAACUCCGUGCCAGCAGCCGCGGUAAUACGGAGGGUGCAAGCGUUAAUCGGAAUUACUGGGCGUAAAGAGUGCGUAGGCGGUUAGGUAAGUUAUCUGUGAAAUCCCUGGGCUUAACCUAGGUGGGAAAGAUAAAACUGCUUGACUAGAGUGUGGUAGAGGAUAGUGGAAUUUCCGGUGUAGCGGUGAAAUGCGUAGAGAUCGGAAGGAACACCAGUGGCGAAGGCGGCUAUCUGGACCAACACUGACGCUGAGGCACGAAA